CAUUUCAAAUUUUAGGUGCCAUUAUCACUAUUGUUAUUACAUUGUACCAUUUUAUUUUGAAAAUUAUUUAUACACGCCUUGUUUUUUUCAAAUGCAUCAUUUAUAAAGUAAUUACUAUUUAUAAUCAUUUUAGGUUAUAAUAGAAAAAAAUUAUCCCUAAAUAAUGUAUAUUUUCUAACUUUUAUCUUCCCUUUCUUAUAAACUAAAGCUAUAAUUUUUUGUGUACUCUGUUGUCCAGAUACUAAUAAUAAU
Non-coding RNA from Biomphalaria pfeifferi, 252 nucleotides. The record is from the annotation of a GenBank genome assembly. NCBI's taxonomy places the organism in Eukaryota, Metazoa, Mollusca, Gastropoda, Planorbidae.